GACAGAGGGUGCAAACGUUGUUCGGAAUUACUGGGCGUAAAGCGAGUGUAGGCGGUGUGGUAAGUCGGAUGUGAAAGCCCCGGGCUCAACCCGGGAAGUGCACUCGAUACUGCCACGCUAGAGUAUCGGAGAGGUUGGUGGAGUUCUCGGUGUAGAGGUGAAAUUCGUAGAUAUCGAGAGGAACACCGGUGGCGAAGGCGGCCAACUGGACGAAUACUGACGCUGAGACUCGAAAGCGUGGGGAGCAAACAGG
This 253-nucleotide ribosomal RNA is filed under the name uncultured bacterium. RNAcentral describes it as "partial 16S ribosomal RNA". It matches the Rfam family "Bacterial small subunit ribosomal RNA", at positions 524 to 776 of the family's 1533-position model. The record is from RNAcentral.